This is a long non-coding RNA of Apis florea (little honeybee), 974 nucleotides long. NCBI's taxonomy places the organism in Eukaryota, Metazoa, Arthropoda, Insecta, Hymenoptera, Apidae. The record is from RefSeq and is a predicted model, not a curated record.
CUGCUCGUGCAUGCAUCCACGAGAGAGAAGAGAGAGAGAGAGAGAGAGAAGCUUCUUCCUCGAAAAUCUUGACGAAUCUUAAAAAACUGUCGAGCGAUUCGGCAGUUGUGGUGGCCGCGCGAGGGGGUGCUAAAAAAACAAGUGUUUUUUAACCGCGGAACUAAUAAGGGUAGGAGGAAGUGGGUGGAAGAGGAAAAAUCGCGGGGAACAGAGGCGAGAGGGGACAAGGUGGGAGAACAGUACCCUUUAUAGUAAUAUCUAAACUUAAUUGUAACUAUUAACGAUACGUACGACUGUGGUAGCUAUGCUAGUACCUGCUAUUGUUAAAGAGAGAAAGAGGGAGAGAGAUUGGAGAGAGAGAAAGAGAGAAAGGUAGAGCGAAAGAAUCGAUUGAAUUGAGUGGGAGAGAAGGGAGGAGUAAGGACUUUCGAGGGUUGGUACGUGGCGGAAGACGUCCAUCGGUGUAAGGUGACCCAGUUCCCGGGCCACUUUCUCGAUAUAUUCGGAUCGUUGAUCCUCGCUAGAUAGAAAAAAAGAAAAAAAGAAAGAAAGAAAAAAAAGGAACAAUUUUCGAUCGAGCCUCGAGAAAGAGAGAGCUCUCCUCGCGCCUGGAUUAUUUUUCUAAUCUAAUCUUUGUAAUCAUCGAACGAAUCGAAUGUCCGCGACGAAACGAAAUCCUCGAUUCGUCCUCGAACAAGAUCCAACACGACGAUCCUCGUCGCGCUUUGGCCGUUCAUUUUAGAUGUCUCGAGGUCCUUUUUUUUUUUUUUCUUUCAACGAUCCGAUCAGAAAUGGGAAUGGCGAGAGAGGGACAGUAAGAAGGGAAGUUGGAGCAAGUGUUGCAAUGAGUUGCGAAUCAAAUGUGGAUCUCGGCUUGAGACGAGAGGCUCAGCUCAGCGAAGAAUCAAACACACGUACACGAUGUAUACUCUUCUAGCAAAAACUAAAAAAAAAAAAAAGGGAAAAAAGAAAAG